GCGCCCGUAGCUCAGAGGAUAGAGCGUAGGACUUCGAAUCCUGUGGUCGGGGGUUCGACUCCCCCCGGGCGUGCCA
Molecule: transfer RNA, 76 nt
Filed under: Caldicellulosiruptor bescii
Lineage: Bacteria; Bacillati; Bacillota; Caldicellulosiruptorales; Caldicellulosiruptoraceae
Also listed under: 14 other names
Description: tRNA_Arg_TCG
Rfam family: tRNA
About the family: Transfer RNA (tRNA) molecules are approximately 80 nucleotides in length. Their secondary structure includes four short double-helical elements and three loops (D, anti-codon, and T loops).
Source: RNAcentral